RNAcentral lists this ribosomal RNA (741 nucleotides) under uncultured marine bacterium. RNAcentral's name for it is "bacterial SSU rRNA". It matches the Rfam family "Bacterial small subunit ribosomal RNA", at positions 55 to 844 of the family's 1533-position model. The record is from RNAcentral.
AUGCAAGUCGAACGCAGUAGCAAUACUGAGUGGCAAACGGGUGAGUAUAAUGUGGGAAUCUGCCUUUUGGUUUGGAAUAACACGAGGAAACUUGUGCUAAUACCGAAUAAGCCCUUACGGGGAAAGUUUUAACGCCGAAAGAUGAGCCUGCACUUGAUUAACUAGUUGGUAAGGUAAAGGCUUACCAAGGCUACGAUCAAUAGCUGUUCUUAGAGGAAGACCAGCCACAUUGGGACUGAGACACGGCCCAGACUCCUACGGGAGGCAGCAGUGGGGAAUCUUGCACAAUGGGGGAAACCCUGAUGCAGCGAUGCCGCGUGAGUGAAGAAGGCCUUUGGGUUGUAAAACUCUUUCGUCGGGGAAGAAAAUGACUGUACCCGAAUAAGAAGGUCCGGCUAACUUCGUGCCAGCAGCCGCGGUAAUACGAAGGGACCUAGCGUAGUUCGGAAUUACUGGGCUUAAAGAGCUCGUAGGUGGUUAAAAAAGUUGAUGGUGAAAUCCCAAGGCUCAACCUUGGAACUGCCAUCAAAACUUUUUAGCUAGAGUGUGAUAGAGGUAAGUGGAAUUUCUAGUGUAGAGGUGAAAUUCGUAGAUAUUAGAAAGAACACCAAAUGCGAAGGCAACUUACUGGGUCACUACUGACACUGAGGAGCGAAAGCAUGGGUAGCGAAGAGGAUUAGAUACCCUCGUAGUCCAUGCCGUAAACGAUGUGUGCUAGACGUUGGAAAUAUAUUUUUCAGU